CAGUCGCCGCGGUAAUGCGAAGGGUGCAAGCGUUAAUCGGAAUUACUGGGCGUAAAGCGUGCGUAGGUGGUGGUUUAAGUCCGUUGUGAAAGCCCUGGGCUCAACCUGGGAAUUGCAGUGGAUACUGGGUCACUAGAGUGUGGUAGAGGAUAGUGGAAUUUCCGGUGUAGCAGUGAAAUGCGUAGAGAUCGGGAGGAACAUCAGUGGCGAAGGCGGCCAUCUGGGACAACACUGACGCUCAUGCACGAAAGCGUGGGGAGCAAACAGGAUUAGAUACCCCAGUAGUCCCUGUCUCUUAUAC
RNAcentral lists this ribosomal RNA (301 nucleotides) under uncultured bacterium. RNAcentral's name for it is "partial 16S ribosomal RNA". It matches the Rfam family "Bacterial small subunit ribosomal RNA", at positions 509 to 807 of the family's 1533-position model. The record is from RNAcentral.